RNAcentral lists this unclassified non-coding RNA (200 nucleotides) under soil metagenome. RNAcentral describes it as "partial contains internal transcribed spacer 2 and large subunit ribosomal RNA". The record is from RNAcentral.
UGAGGGUUUUGCUGGCGCCUUGCGUUGGCUCCCUUUAAAUAUAUUAGCGGAACUAUGCAGGACCGGCCUUGGUUUGAUAAUCCUAUCUAUGCCAUCGCUGAGAAGCUCUUGUUCAGCUUAUAGCUGUCUUCGGACUGUCUCUUUGGAGGCAAACUUUUAAUCUUGACCUCAAAUCAGGUAGGACUACCCGCUGAACUUAA